GCGGCAGACGGGUGAGUAACGCGUGGGAACGUACCUUUUGCUACGGAAUAACUCAGGGAAACUUGUGCUAAUACCGUAUGUGCCCUUCGGGGGAAAGAUUUAUCGGCAAAGGAUCGGCCCGCGUUGGAUUAGCUAGUUGGUGAGGUAAUGGCCUACCAAGGCGACGACGGGUAGCCGGCCUGAGAGGGUGACCGGCCACACUGGGACUGAGACACGGCCCAGACUCCUACGGGAGGCAGCAGUGGGGAAUAUUGCACAAUGGGCGCAAGCCUGAUGCAGCGACGCCGCGUGAGGGAUGACGGCCUUCGGGUUGUAAACCUCUUUCGCCAGGGACGAAGCGCGAGUGACGGUACCUGGAUAAGAAGCACCGGCUAACUACGUGCCAGCAGCCGCGGUAAUACGUAGGGUGCGAGCGUUGUCCGGAAUUAUUGGGCGUAAGGAGCUCGUAGGCGGUUUGUCGCGUCGGCUGUGAAAUCUGGAGGCUUAACCUUCAG
This 494-nucleotide ribosomal RNA is filed under the name uncultured bacterium. RNAcentral's name for it is "bacterial SSU rRNA". It matches the Rfam family "Bacterial small subunit ribosomal RNA", at positions 95 to 619 of the family's 1533-position model. The record is from RNAcentral.